This 68-nucleotide transfer RNA is filed under the name Trigoniophthalmus alternatus. RNAcentral's name for it is "tRNA-Ile". Lineage: Eukaryota; Metazoa; Arthropoda; Insecta; Archaeognatha; Machilidae. The record is from RNAcentral.
AACAAAGUGCCUGAUUAAAGGAUUACAAUGAUAAAGUAAAUAAAGUACGUUUAUAUGUACCUUUGCUA